UAGGGAAUCUUCCGCAAUGGACGCAAGUCUGACGGAGCAACGCCGCGCGAGUGAAGAAGGAUUUCGGUUCGUAAAACUCUGUUGUUAGAGAAGAACAGCGCACAGAGUAACUGUUAUGCGUGUGACGGUAUCUAACCAGAAACCCACGGCUAACUACGUGCCAGCAGCCGCGGUAAUACGUAGGUGGCAAGCGUUGUCCGGAUUUAUUGUGCGUAAAGCGAGCGCAGGCGGUCAAUUAAGGCUGAUGUGAAAGCCCACGGCUCAACCGUGGAGGGUCGUUGGAAACUGGAAAACGAGAGGGAAGAAGAGGAAGGUGGAAUUCCGUGUGGAGGGGUGAAAUGCGUAGAUAGAUGGAGGAACACCGGGGGCGAAAGCGGCUCGGUGGUAUGUGACUGACGGUGAAGCUAGAAAGCGUGGGGAGCGAGCAGG
RNAcentral lists this ribosomal RNA (429 nucleotides) under Bacteroidota bacterium. RNAcentral describes it as "Bacteroidetes bacterium partial 16S ribosomal RNA". It matches the Rfam family "Bacterial small subunit ribosomal RNA", at positions 355 to 776 of the family's 1533-position model. Lineage: Bacteria; Pseudomonadati; Bacteroidota. The record is from RNAcentral.